RNAcentral lists this ribosomal RNA (855 nucleotides) under uncultured Bacillota bacterium. RNAcentral describes it as "bacterial SSU rRNA". It matches the Rfam family "Bacterial small subunit ribosomal RNA", at positions 70 to 902 of the family's 1533-position model. Lineage: Bacteria; Bacillati; Bacillota. The record is from RNAcentral.
AAAGUCCCCUUCGGGGGACAAGUAGAGUGGCGCACGGGUGAGUAACACGUAGGUAAUCUACCUUCGGAUGGGGAAUAACAACCGGAAACGGUUGCUAAUACCGCAUAAUGCAGCGGCACCUAAUGGUGACAGUUGUUAAAGCGGGGGAUCGCAAGACCUCGCGUCUGAAGAGGAGCCUGCGGCGGAUUAGCUAGUUGGUAAGGUAAUGGCUUACCAAGGCGACGAUCCGUAACCGGCCUGAGAGGGCGGUCGGUCACACUGACACUGACAUACGGGUCAGACUCCUACGGGAGGCAGCAGUCGGGAAUUUUGGGCAAUGGGCGAAAGCCUGACCCAGCAACGCCGCGUGAAGGAUGAAAUCCCUCGGGAUGUAAACUUCGCAAGAACGGGAAGAAUAAGUAGGGGACAAUACCCCCUAUGAUGACGGUACCGUUUGUAAGCUCCGGCUAACUCCGUGCCAGCAGCCGCGGUAAUACGGGGGGAGCAAGCGUUGUUCGGAUUUACUGGGCGUAAAGGGCGCGUAGGCGGCCAGCGCAAGUCAGUUGUGAAAUCUCCGAGCUUAACUCGGAAAGGUCAACUGAUACUGCGCGGCUAGAGUGCAGAAGGGGCAACUGGAAUUCUUGGUGUAGCGGUGAAAUGCGUAGAUAUCAAGAGGAACACCUGCGGCGAAGGCGGGUUGCUGGGCUGACACUGACGCUGAAGCGCGAAAGCUAGGGGAGCGAACGGGAUUAGAUACCCCGGUAGUCCUAGCCUUAAACGAUGAAUGCUUGGUGUCUGGGGUUAUAAAGUCCCCGGGUGCCGUCGCUAACGCUUUAAGCAUUCCGCCUGGGGAGUACGGUCGCAAGACUGAAACUC